This 21-nucleotide microRNA is filed under the name Zea mays. Its description in RNAcentral is "miRt5". Lineage: Eukaryota; Viridiplantae; Streptophyta; Magnoliopsida; Poales; Poaceae. The record is from RNAcentral.
AUACUAGGAGUGAAGGGAUCA